UCCGUAGGCGGCUUUUCAAGUUAAAAGUAAAAUCAAAAAGCUUAACUUUUUUGAGGCUUUUAAUACGUUAGAGCUUGGAGUUUGAAGGGAGAUAGUAGAAUUUCAUAUGGAGGGGUGAAAUCCGUAGAAUUAUGAAGGAAUACUGAUGGCGAAGGCGACUAUCUAUUUCAAUCUGACGCUGAGGGACGAAAGCAUGGGGAGCAAACA
RNAcentral lists this ribosomal RNA (207 nucleotides) under uncultured bacterium. RNAcentral's name for it is "partial 16S ribosomal RNA". It matches the Rfam family "Bacterial small subunit ribosomal RNA", at positions 568 to 774 of the family's 1533-position model. The record is from RNAcentral.